This 1187-nucleotide ribosomal RNA is filed under the name human gut metagenome. Its description in RNAcentral is "bacterial LSU rRNA". It matches the Rfam family "Bacterial large subunit ribosomal RNA", at positions 1348 to 2555 of the family's 2925-position model. The record is from RNAcentral.
AGGUUUCCAGAGUAAAGCUGAUCUGCUCUGGGUAAGUCGGGGCCUAAGGCGAGGACGAGAGUCGUAGCCGAUGGACAACAGGUGGAGAUUCCUGUACUGCGGUAUGACAGAACUGUGGGGACACGUAAGGAAAGCGGAAGCCGGGAAUGGAAAGCCCGGUGCAAGCGGGGUACCAGUCACUUUGGCAAAUCCGGGUGGCAAUGGGAAGCCGUGAUGCGGAGCGAAAUAAAGUAGCGAAGUCCGUGAGCCAUGCGUCAAGAAAAGCCGCUAUUGUUUAUACCGUACCCGUACCGUAAACCGACACAGGUGGAUGAGGAGAGAAUCCUAAGGCCGGCGGAAGAAGCAUUGUCAAGGAACUCGGCAAAAUGACCCCGUAACUUCGGGAGAAGGGGUGCCUGCGAGAGCAGGCCGCAGAGAAUAGGCUCAAGCAACUGUUUAGCAAAAACACAGGUCUAUGCGAAACCGAAAGGUGAGGUAUAUGGGCUGACGCCUGCCCGGUGCUGGAAGGUUAAGAGGAGAGGUUAGCGCAAGCGAAGCUUUGAAUUUAAGCCCCAGUAAACGGCGGCCGUAACUAUAACGGUCCUAAGGUAGCGAAAUUCCUUGUCGGGUAAGUUCCGACCCGCACGAAAGGCGUAAUGAUUUGGGCACUGUCUCAACAAUGCACCCGGUGAAAUUGAAAUACCAGUGAAGAUGCUGGUUACCUGCGCCAGGACGGAAAGACCCCAUGGAGCUUUACUCCAGCUUGAUACUGGGAUUCGGUAUUGCAUGUACAGGAUAGGUGGGAGGCUAGGAAAUGGUAACGCCAGUUGCCAUGGAGCCAAUGUUGGGAUACCACCCUUGCAGUACUGGGUUUCUAACCAGCAGCCGUGAUCCGGCUGGGGGACAAUGUCAGGUGGGGAGUUUGACUGGGGCGGUCGCCUCCGAAAGGGUAUCGGAGGCGCUCAAAGGUUCCCUCAGAAUGGUUGGAAACCAUUCGAAGAGUGCAAAGGCAGAAGGGAGCUUGACUGCGACACCGACGGGUGGAGCAGGUACGAAAGUAGGACUUAGUGAUCCGGUGGUAUAAAGUGGGAUUGCCAUCGCUCAACGGAUAAAAGCUACCCUGGGGAUAACAGGCUUAUCACUCCCAAGAGUUCACAUCGACGGAGUGGUUUGGCACCUCGAUGUCGGCUCAUCGCAUCCUGGGGCUG